CCUACGGGAGGCAGCAGUGGGGAAUAUUGCACAAUGGGGGAAACCCUGAUGCAGCGACGCCGCGUGAGCGAUGAAGGAUUUCGGUAUGUAAAGCUCUAUCAGCAGGGAAGAAAAUGACGGUACCUGACUCAGAAUCCCCGUCGAACUACGAGCCAGCAGCCGCGGUAACACGUAGGGGGCAAGCGUAAUCCGGAUUUACGGGGUGUAAAGGGAGCGUAGACGGUCUUGCAAGCCAGAUGUGAAAGCCCGGGGCUCAACCCCGGGACUGCAUUUGGAACUGUAAGGCUAGAGUGUCGGUGAGGCAGGCGGAAUUCCUAGUGUAGCGGUGAAAUGCGUAGAUAUUAGGAGGAACACCGGUGGCGAAGGCGGCCUGCUGGACGAUGACUGACGUUGAGGCUCGAAAGCGUGGGUAGCAAACAGGAUUAGAUACCCCAGUAGUC
This 440-nucleotide ribosomal RNA is filed under the name uncultured bacterium. Its description in RNAcentral is "partial 16S ribosomal RNA". It matches the Rfam family "Bacterial small subunit ribosomal RNA", at positions 338 to 795 of the family's 1533-position model. The record is from RNAcentral.